This 73-nucleotide transfer RNA is filed under the name Stegodyphus mimosarum. It matches the Rfam family "tRNA". Rfam says of the family: Transfer RNA (tRNA) molecules are approximately 80 nucleotides in length. The record is from Rfam by way of RNAcentral. Lineage: Eukaryota; Metazoa; Arthropoda; Arachnida; Araneae; Eresidae.
UCCUUCGUGGUGUAGUGGUCAGCACGCUCGACGCGUAACCGAGAGUUACGUGGUUCGAUUCCCGGCGAAGGCG